This 373-nucleotide transfer-messenger RNA is filed under the name Ramlibacter henchirensis. RNAcentral's name for it is "Standard tmRNA". It matches the Rfam family "transfer-messenger RNA". From Rfam's summary of the family: Bacterial tmRNA, also known as 10Sa RNA or SsrA, is named for its dual tRNA and mRNA-like properties. Its role is to liberate the mRNA from a stalled ribosome. Lineage: Bacteria; Pseudomonadati; Pseudomonadota; Betaproteobacteria; Burkholderiales; Comamonadaceae. The record is from RNAcentral.
GGGGCUGCACCGGUUUCGACGUGGGUUCGGACACGCAGCAGGGCAUGUCGAGGUUCAGUCACCUCGUUAAUCCGCUGAAACAAACUAACUGCGAACGACGAACGUUACGCACUCGCCGCUUAAACACCGGUGAGCCUCACAACAGCUGGUCCAUGGGCUGGGCCGGGGUCGCAAGGUCCCGGUUGUGAGGGAAUCCACAUGGGCUGGUUUCCACCCGGGUGCCUUGGGCGGGAACGAGAAAAUAGGGCACUGGCGGCUGGCAUAGCGUGCGUCUGCGCGAUGCCGGCGGCGAGAACCAAAUCAGAGCGCUAAACAUGUAGAACUGCUCGGAGAAGGCUUGCGGACGCGGGUUCAAUUCCCGCCAGCUCCACCA